GUCUUUGUAGUAUAGCAAUUACCUUGGUCUUGUAAGCCAAAAACG
RNAcentral lists this transfer RNA (45 nucleotides) under Ursus arctos (brown bear). RNAcentral describes it as "partial tRNA-Thr". The record is from RNAcentral. Lineage: Eukaryota; Metazoa; Chordata; Mammalia; Carnivora; Ursidae.